This 253-nucleotide ribosomal RNA is filed under the name uncultured bacterium. Its description in RNAcentral is "partial 16S ribosomal RNA". It matches the Rfam family "Bacterial small subunit ribosomal RNA", at positions 524 to 776 of the family's 1533-position model. The record is from RNAcentral.
UACGGAGGGGACUAGCGUUGUUCGGAAUUACUGGGCGUAAAGCGCACGUAGGCGGAUUUGUAAGUCAGGGGUGAAAUCCCGAGGCUCAACCUCGGAACUGCCUUUGAUACUGCAAAUCUCGAGUCCGGAAGAGGUGAGUGGAAUUCCUAGUGUAGAGGAGAAAUUCGUAGAUAUUAGGAAGAACACCAGUGGCGAAGGCGGCUCACUGGCCCGGUACUGACGCUGAGGUGCGAAAGCGUGGGGAGCAAACAGG